GCCGGCAGCUAGCUCUCUGCAACUCUCUUGGUCGCCCUCUGAAGCAAAGCAGGGCUGAUCCUGGCCAGUACCUGGAUGGGAGACCACAUGGGACAGCUGGGUUGCUGCCGGAA
Molecule: non-coding RNA, 113 nt
Organism: Danio rerio (zebrafish)
Lineage: Eukaryota; Metazoa; Chordata; Actinopteri; Cypriniformes; Danionidae
Source: Rfam